UACGGGGGGGGCAAGCGUUGUUCGGAUUCAUUGGGCGUAAAGGGUGCGUAGGUGGCGGGGUUAGUCAGGUGUGAAAUCUCGGGGCUCAACCCCGAAACUGCACUUGAUACUGCCUUGCUAGAGUACUGGAGAGGAGAUUGGAAUUUACGGUGUAGCAGUGAAAUGCGUAGAUAUCGUAAGGAAGACCAGUGGCGAAGGCGAAUCUCUGGACAGUUACUGACACUGAGGCACGAAGGCCAGGGGAGCAAACGGG
This 253-nucleotide ribosomal RNA is filed under the name uncultured bacterium. RNAcentral describes it as "partial 16S ribosomal RNA". It matches the Rfam family "Bacterial small subunit ribosomal RNA", at positions 524 to 776 of the family's 1533-position model. The record is from RNAcentral.